CAGCCGUAAACUAUGCGCGUUAGGUGUACUGGUGACCACGAGUCACCGGGGUGCCGAAGGGAAACCGUGAAACGUGCCGCCUGGGAAGUACGGUCGCAAGGCUGAAACUUAAAGGAAUUGGCGGGGGAGCACCACAACAGGUGGAGCCUGCGGUUUAAUUGGAUUCAACGCCGGAAAUCUCACCGGAUAGGACAGACAUAUGAUAGUCGGGCUGAAGACUCUACUUGAUGAUCUGAGAGGUGGUGCAUGGCGUCAGUGACU
RNAcentral lists this ribosomal RNA (261 nucleotides) under uncultured archaeon. RNAcentral's name for it is "partial 16S ribosomal RNA". It matches the Rfam family "Archaeal small subunit ribosomal RNA", at positions 748 to 1008 of the family's 1478-position model. The record is from RNAcentral.